This 1171-nucleotide ribosomal RNA is filed under the name uncultured Bacteroides sp. RNAcentral describes it as "bacterial SSU rRNA". It matches the Rfam family "Bacterial small subunit ribosomal RNA", at positions 10 to 1177 of the family's 1533-position model. Lineage: Bacteria; Pseudomonadati; Bacteroidota; Bacteroidia; Bacteroidales; Bacteroidaceae. The record is from RNAcentral.
AGUUUGAUCCUGGCUCAGGAUGAACGCUAGCUACAGGCUUAACACAUGCAAGUCGAGGGGCAGCAUGAACUUAGCUUGCUAAGUUUGAUGGCGACCGGCGCACGGGUGAGUAACACGUAUCCAACCUUCCGUUUACUCAGGGAUAGCCUUUCGAAAGAAAGAUUAAUACCUGAUAGUAUGGUGAGAUUGCAUGAUAACACCAUUAAAGAUUUAUUGGUAAACGAUGGGGAUGCGUUCCAUUAGGUAGUAGGCGGGGUAACGGCCCACCUAGCCUGCGAUGGAUAGGGGUUCUGAGAGGAAGGUCCCCCACAUUGGAACUGAGACACGGUCCAAAUCCUACGGGAGGCAGCAGUGAGGAAUAUUGGUCAAUGGGCGAGAGCCUGAACCAGCCAAGUAGCGUGAAGGAUGAAGGUCCUACGGAUUGUAAACUUCUUUUAUACGGGAAUAAAGUAUCCUACGUGUAGGAUUUUGUAUGUACCGUAUGAAUAAGCAUCGGCUAACUCCGUGCCAGCAGCCGCGGUAAUACGGAGGAUGCGAGCGUUAUCCGGAUUUAUUGGGUUUAAAGGGAGCGCAGACGGGAGAUUAAGUCAGUUGUGAAAGUUUGCGGCUCAACCGUAAAAUUGCAGUUGAUACUGGUUUCCUUGAGUGCAGUUGAGGCAGGCGGAAUUCGUGGUGUAGCGGUGAAAUGCUUAGAUAUCACGAAGAACCCCGAUUGCGAAGGCAGCUUGCUAAACUGUAACUGACGUUCAUGCUCGAAAGUGUGGGUAUCAAACAGGAUUAGAUACCCUGGUAGUCCACACGGUAAACGAUGGAUACUCGCUGUUGGCGAUAUACUGUCAGCGGCCAAGCGAAAGCAUUAAGUAUCCCACCUGGGGAGUACGCCGGCAACGGUGAAACUCAAAGGAAUUGACGGGGGCCCGCACAAGCGGAGGAACAUGUGGUUUAAUUCGAUGAUACGCGAGGAACCUUACCCGGGCUUAAAUUGCAGACGAAUUACGAGGAAACUUGUAAGCCGCAAGGCGUCUGUGAAGGUGCUGCAUGGUUGUCGUCAGCUCGUGCCGUGAGGUGUCGGCUUAAGUGCCAUAACAAGCGCAACCCUCGUGNUCAGUUACUAACAGGUUAAGCUGANGACUCUGGCCAGACUGCCAUCGUAAGAUGUGAGGANGGUGGA